Molecule: Y RNA, 112 nt
Filed under: Methylomagnum ishizawai
Lineage: Bacteria; Pseudomonadati; Pseudomonadota; Gammaproteobacteria; Methylococcales; Methylococcaceae
Description: Y RNA-like
Rfam family: Y RNA-like
About the family: In Deinococcus radiodurans Rsr is tethered via Y RNA to the exoribonuclease PNPase and channels single-stranded RNA into the PNPase cavity.
Source: Rfam by way of RNAcentral
GGUGCGAAUGCGGGCAGGACUACCUCAUGUCGCCGGUUCGAUCCCGGCCCGUGCUUCGGCGCGGUAGCUCAGUCGGUAGAGCAGAAGUCUUGCCGAUCCUUGUCGCGCCGCU